GCAGUCGUGGCCGAGUGGUUAAGGCGAUGACUUGAAAUCCAUUGGGGUCUCCCCGCGCAGGUUCGAAUCCUGCCGGCUGCG
This 81-nucleotide transfer RNA is filed under the name Trichonephila clavata. It matches the Rfam family "tRNA". Rfam says of the family: Transfer RNA (tRNA) molecules are approximately 80 nucleotides in length. The record is from Rfam by way of RNAcentral. Lineage: Eukaryota; Metazoa; Arthropoda; Arachnida; Araneae; Nephilidae.